This 459-nucleotide ribosomal RNA is filed under the name uncultured bacterium. RNAcentral's name for it is "partial 16S ribosomal RNA". It matches the Rfam family "Bacterial small subunit ribosomal RNA", at positions 338 to 795 of the family's 1533-position model. The record is from RNAcentral.
CCUACGGGGGGCAGCAGUGAGGAAUAUUGGUCAAUGGGCGGAAGCCUGAACCAGCCAAGUAGCGUGCAGGAUGACGGCCCUACGGGUUGUAAACUGCUUUUAUACGGGAAUAACGCGCCUUACGUGUAGGCUUUGCCUGGUCCGUAUUAAUUAGGGCCGGCGAAUUCCGUGCCAGCAGCCCCGGUUAUUAGGGAGGUCCGGGCGUUAUCCGGAUUUAUUGGGGUUAAAGGGGGCGUAGGCCGGAUGUCAAGCGUGCUGUGAAAUGUUCGGGCUCAACCCGGGCCUUGCAGCGCGAACUGGCGUGCUUGAGUCCGCGGAAGGCAGGCGGAAUUCGUGGUGUAGCGGUGAAAUGCUUAGAUAUGACGAAGAACCCCGAUUGCGAAGGCAGCUUGCUGCAGCGGAACUGACGCUGAUGCUCGAAAGCGCGGGUAUCGAACAGGAUUAGAUACCCCUGUAGUC